Molecule: ribosomal RNA, 469 nt
Filed under: uncultured bacterium
Lineage: Bacteria
Description: partial 16S ribosomal RNA
Rfam family: Bacterial small subunit ribosomal RNA
Source: RNAcentral
GACGAACGCUGGCGGCGUGCUUAACACAUGCAAGUCGAACGGAAAGGCCCUGCUUGCAGGGUGCUCGAGUGGCGAACGGGUGAGUAACACGUGGGUGAUCUGCCCCUUACUUUGGGAUAAGCCUGGGAAACUGGGUCUAAUACUGGAUAGGACCAUGCUGUAGGUGGUGUGGUGGAAAGAUUAGUUUCGGUAAGGGAUGAGCUCGCGGCCUAUCAGCUUGUUGGUGGGGUAAUGGCCGACCACGGCGUCGACGGGUGGCCGGCCGGAGAGGGUGGUGGGCCACAUUGGGACUGAGAUACGGCCCAGAAUCCUACGGGAGGCAGCAGUGGGGAAUAUUGCACAAUGGGCGCAAGCCGGAUGCAGCGACGCCGCGUGGGGGAGGACGGCCUUCGGGUUGUAAACUCCUUUCAGCCAUGACGAAGCCCUUGUGGUGACGGUAGUGGUAGAAGAAGCACCGGCUAACUACGUG